UACGGAGGGUGCGAGCGUUGUCCGGAAUCAUUGGGCGUAAAGGGCGCGUAGGUGGCCCGGUCAGUCGAUGGUGAAAGCGCGGGGCUCAACUCCGCGUCGGCCGUCGAUACUGCGGGGCUGGAGCACUGUAGAGGCAGGCGGAAUUCCGGGUGUAGCGGUGGAAUGCGUAGAGAUCCGGAAGAACACCGGUGGCGAAGGCGGCCUGCUGGGCAGUGGCUGACACUGAGGCGCGACAGCGUGGGGAGCAAACAGG
This 253-nucleotide ribosomal RNA is filed under the name uncultured bacterium. Its description in RNAcentral is "partial 16S ribosomal RNA". It matches the Rfam family "Bacterial small subunit ribosomal RNA", at positions 524 to 776 of the family's 1533-position model. The record is from RNAcentral.